CCUACGGGAGACAGCAGUGAGGAAUAUUGGUCAAUGGCCGGAAGGCUGAACCAGCCAAGCCGCGUGAAGGACGAAGGUGCCAAGCAUUGUAAACUUCUUUUGUCAAGGGACAAAAUCAGGCUCGAGAGCCUGACCGAGGGUACUUGAAGCAAAAGCAUCGGCUAACCUCGUGCCAGCAGCCGCGGUAAUACGGAGGAUGCUAGCGUUAUCCGGAUUUAUUGGGGUUAACGGGUGCGUAGGCGGACGGUUAAGUCAGCGGUAAAAGCCCGGGGCUCAACCCCGGCGAGCCGUUGAAACUGGCUGUCUUGAGAUGUCGAGAGGUAUGCAGAAUGCGCAGUGUAGCGGUGAAAUGCUUAGAUAUUGCGCAGAACUCCGAUUGCGAAGGCAGCAUACCGGCGGCGAUCUGACGCUGAGGCACGAAAGCGUGGGUAGCGAACAGGAUUAGAUACCCGGGUAGUC
This 459-nucleotide ribosomal RNA is filed under the name uncultured bacterium. RNAcentral's name for it is "partial 16S ribosomal RNA". It matches the Rfam family "Bacterial small subunit ribosomal RNA", at positions 338 to 795 of the family's 1533-position model. The record is from RNAcentral.